RNAcentral lists this ribosomal RNA (472 nucleotides) under uncultured bacterium. Its description in RNAcentral is "bacterial SSU rRNA". It matches the Rfam family "Bacterial small subunit ribosomal RNA", at positions 355 to 825 of the family's 1533-position model. The record is from RNAcentral.
UGGGGAAUAUUGGACAAUGGGCGCAAGCCUGACGCAGCGACGCCGCGUGAGUGAUGAAGGCCUUCGGGUUGUAAAGCUCUGUGGGGAGAGAAGAAUAAGUGCGGGCUAAUACCCCGCAUGAUGACGGUAUCUCCUUAGCAAGCACCGGCUAACUCUGUGCCAGCAGCCGCGGUAAGACAGAGGGUGCAAACGUUGUUCGGAAUUAUUGGGCGUAAAGCGGGUGUAGGCGGACUUAUAAGUCAGGUGUGAAAUCCCAGGGCUCAACCCUGGAAGUGCACUUGAUACUGCAAGUCUUGAGUGUGGUAGAGGCUAUUAGAAUUCCUGGUGUAGUGGUGAAAUACGUAGAUAUCAGGAGGAAUACCGGAGGCGAAGGCGGAUAGCUGGGCCAACGACUGACGCUGAGACCCGAAAGCGUGGGGAUCAAACAGGAUUAGAUACCCUUGUAGUCCCUGAGCGGGCUGGCAAGGCGCAU